UACUCUCCAGCCAUCAAAGACUCCACCAGGAGGUGCUACACCAUACCAACGCUGUGUGUCUGAUGGAGACGUGUAAAGGGAAGCGUGUGAUCCUGUCCAGUGCCGUGGAGAAGUCUCUGGAGCUCAGAGGGCCCUAUGACAUCACCAACCUGUAUCCUUCCUAUUGGUUCAGACACAAACUGUAGUCUUCA
Molecule: long non-coding RNA, 191 nt
Organism: Sander lucioperca (pikeperch)
Lineage: Eukaryota; Metazoa; Chordata; Actinopteri; Perciformes; Percidae
Exons: 3
Source: RefSeq, a predicted model, not a curated record